UACGAAGGGGGCUAGCGUUGCUCGGAAUCACUGGGCGUAAAGCGCACGUAGGCGGAUUGCUAAGUCAGGGGUGAAAUCCUGGAGCUCAACUCCAGAACUGCCUUUGAUACUGGCGAUCUUGAGUCCGGGAGAGGUGAGUGGAACUGCGAGUGUAGAGGUGAAAUUCGUAGAUAUUCGCAAGAACACCAGUGGCGAAGGCGGCUCACUGGCCCGGUACUGACGCUGAGGUGCGAAAGCGUGGGGGGCAAACAGG
Molecule: ribosomal RNA, 253 nt
Filed under: uncultured bacterium
Lineage: Bacteria
Description: partial 16S ribosomal RNA
Rfam family: Bacterial small subunit ribosomal RNA
Source: RNAcentral